CCUACGGGAGGCAGCAGUGAGGAAUAUUGGUCAAUGGACGAGAGUCUGAACCAGCCAAGUAGCGUGAAGGAUGACUGCCCUAUGGGUUGUAAACCUCUUUUGUCGGGGAGCAAAGCGAACCACGUGUGGUUCAUUGAGAGUACCCGAAGAAAAAGCAUCGGCUAACUCCGUGCCAGCCGCCGCGGUAAUACGGAGGAUGCGAGCGUUAUCCGGAUUUAUUGGGUUUAAAGGGUGCGCAGGCGGAGGUGCAAGUCAGCGGUCAAAUUGCGGGGCUCAACCCCGUACUGCCGUUGAAACUGCAUCCCUUGAGUGCGCGAGAAGUAUGCGGAAUGCGUGGUGUAGCGGGGAAAUGCAUAGAUAUCACGCAGAACUCCGAUUGCGAAGGCAGCAUACCGGCGCGCAACUGACGCUCAUGCACGAAAGCGUGGGUAUCGAACAGGAUUAGAUACCCGGGUAGUC
This 459-nucleotide ribosomal RNA is filed under the name uncultured bacterium. Its description in RNAcentral is "partial 16S ribosomal RNA". It matches the Rfam family "Bacterial small subunit ribosomal RNA", at positions 338 to 795 of the family's 1533-position model. The record is from RNAcentral.